RNAcentral lists this ribosomal RNA (368 nucleotides) under uncultured organism. RNAcentral's name for it is "bacterial LSU rRNA". It matches the Rfam family "Bacterial large subunit ribosomal RNA", at positions 2099 to 2465 of the family's 2925-position model. The record is from RNAcentral.
CUUGACUGUAGCCUGGAAUUGGGUUCGGGCUUUUCUUGCGCAGACUAGGUGGGAGGCUAUGAAGAUUUCCUUCCGGGGAAGUUGGAGCCAACAGUGAGAGACCACUCUGGAAAGGCUAGAAUCCUCAUGGUGAUCCUUGAAUCAGGACACUUGACAGUUUCAGGCGGGCAGUUUUUCUGGGGCGGAAACCUCAUAAAAGGUAACUGAGGUGCGCAAAGGUUCCCUCAGUCUGGACGGAAAUCAGACAACGAGUGUAAAGGCAAAAGGGGGCUUGACUGCAAGACCUACAAGUCGAGCAGGAGCGAAAGCUGGCCUUAGUGAUCCGACGGUACCGCGUGGAAGGGCCGUCGCUCAACGAAUAAAAGUUA